AGAUACCCUAGUAUAUAGUUAAGAUUGAAGAUUAUUAUAUAUUAGAAAUUUUAAGUUUUUGGCGGUAAAUUAAUAUGUUAGAGGAGCUUGUUAAUAGAAAUUACUCUAUAAAUUUUAUUAAUUUUUGUUUAUUUAUUUCCGUUAUAAGGUGGGGAACCUUAUAAGUUUAUUAUCUUAUAUUUCAGGUCAAGAUGUAGCAAUAAUUAAUGUCAAAUUAGCUACAUUAAAUGAUUUAUGAAUUAUUUUAGGAACCUAAUUAUGAAAUUGAAUUUAAUUGUAAUUUAAUUUAAAGUGAUGAGAUGAAAUUAUUAUGAUUUAUGUAUAUAUUGCCCGUCACUUCUUUUGUUAAAGAGAAUAAGUCGUAACAAA
RNAcentral lists this ribosomal RNA (369 nucleotides) under Eupoecilaema perducens. Its description in RNAcentral is "partial small subunit ribosomal RNA". The record is from RNAcentral. Lineage: Eukaryota; Metazoa; Arthropoda; Arachnida; Opiliones; Cosmetidae.